AUGCAGUCGAGCGGUAGCACAGAGAGCUUGCUCUCGGGUGACGAGCGGCGGACGGGUGAGUAAUGUCUGGGAAACUGCCUGAUGGAGGGGGAUAACUACUGGAAACGGUAGCUAAUACCGCAUAAYGUCGCAAGACCAAAGUGGGGGACCUUCGGGCCUCAUGCCAUCAGAUGUGCCCAGAUGGGAUUAGCUAGUAGGUGGGGUAACGGCUCACCUAGGCGACGAUCCCUAGCUGGUCUGAGAGGAUGACCAGCCACACUGGAACUGAGACACGGUCCAGACUCCUACGGGAGGCAGCAGUGGGGAAUAUUGCACAAUGGGCGCAAGCCUGAUGCAGCCAUGCCGCGUGUGUGAAGAAGGCCUUCGGGUUGUAAAGCACUUUCAGCGGGGAGGAAGGCGAUAAGGUUAAUAACCUUGUYGAUUGACGUUACCCGCAGAAGAAGCACCGGCUAACUCCGUGCCAGCAGCCGCGGUAAUACGGAGGGUGCAAGCGUUAWUCGGAAUUACUGGGCGUAAAGCGCACGCAGGCGGUCUGUCAAGUCGGAUGUGAAAUCCCCGGGCUCAACCUGGGAACUGCAUUCGAAACUGGCAGGC
RNAcentral lists this ribosomal RNA (594 nucleotides) under Klebsiella pneumoniae. RNAcentral's name for it is "bacterial SSU rRNA". It matches the Rfam family "Bacterial small subunit ribosomal RNA", at positions 55 to 641 of the family's 1533-position model. The record is from RNAcentral. Lineage: Bacteria; Pseudomonadati; Pseudomonadota; Gammaproteobacteria; Enterobacterales; Enterobacteriaceae.